CACAAGCUCAGAAUUCUGACUUCAUUGCAUAAUGCAGUAAGCCAGUACAUAUUGCAGGAAAACUGUCCUGUUAAACCAUCAAGUGCCUCGAUUUAUACUGCAAAGAGGAGAAAGGAAAACAAAGUGGGUUGAACCUAGCCUUGUGAGUUAGAUUGCCUGAGUUCUCCUUUUGACUCUCUCUCACUUGUUGCAUUGCCUUGGAUAAUUCUUUUUAAUUUGUCAAAAUCUCAGUUUCAUUGUUUAUGAAAUGAAGGUUAUGGUCAGGAACCUCUUUAUGUGUGGAGUAGACACACAGCAGGGAAAUCUCAGAAUAUCUAAUGCUCUGUCUGCUGUGGGCUCAAUAAAUCUAAAUCACAAAGCACAACAACAAAACUAAAACAAAAACCUUAAACCUGCCUGGAAAAAAAAAGCAAUUUAGCAGCAUCUGCAAAAGGAGAAAUCAAUAGCAUCUGUUGAUAAGAAUUCAACCAGCUUCCAAAGAUAAAGGAAACUUCUAAAAAAAUCUGGAAAUUCUUUGGCAAGAAUAAUGGAUAAAGGACUCAAGAAGUAUGCUUAAGAGACACACUCUACAUAAAAUUCUCUUGUGGGUUUGAAUCACCUAUGGAGGGAAAAUGAAGGCUGGAACGUAAUGGGCAUGUUCAUGGACACAAAACCUGGCACCACUGUGUUAUGUCAGGAAUGUUUGAUGAACGGGUCAAGUUACUCAGGAGGAGGAGGUCCUGAACUUCCUUGACAUAGGAGAUCAAUUCUGAAGCAAUUAAAUAAGCAGCCGACAAGGCUUUUUAAGCACCAGAGCAUUUGUCUCAAUAGAAAGCAGAGCAAGACCAAAGCUUUGAACUGCAGAGAAGGUGAUGAAAAAGGAGAUUCCUUUUUAAAACAAUCUAUCAAUGAAUUCUUCUAUCAACACAUCAUGAGUCCAUUCCCUUUACCAAUAUCCACAGGAAAUGGAAAAACAACAUGGAUCUGCAGAAAAGCAAGAGACUUGGAAUUUUGGCAACUGCCAGUCAACUGAGAUGGAGUCACAGUUCCAUGGAAUUUUGAAGGAAGCAGUUGGGCAGCUUGAGCUGUUUUGAGACUCACUUCUUUUCUGACAGUUGGGAGAAAGCCAGACUCUCUCUUGUUCAAUGAUUAUCUGACUGAGUACUGAGAAGACUUUUAGAACUUAGCUCAGAAGAAACUCUGCCAUCCAGUUGUUAUCAACAUCUCCCCUUAGAGAAAAAUCACUUUAUUUCCUGAAUUGAGAGCUCCAAUCAACAGGAAAAUAUAGGAAGUUAGAGAAACCCAUUUUCCUCUCUCCCCCCCUCCUUCUCCUUACUUCCUAUAUUUAAAAGAAUAAAAACUUUUUGUUAAAAAUUUGAGGGUGAAAG
This 1367-nucleotide long non-coding RNA is filed under the name Monodelphis domestica (gray short-tailed opossum). Its description in RNAcentral is "lncRNA (ENSMODG00000030039.2)". Lineage: Eukaryota; Metazoa; Chordata; Mammalia; Didelphimorphia; Didelphidae. The record is from RNAcentral.